ACGCACGCUGGCGGCGUGCUUAACACCUGCAAGUCGAACGGAAAGGCCCUGCUUGCAGGGUCCUCGAGUGGCGAACGGGUGAGUAACACGUGGGUGAUCUGCCCUGCACUUCGGGAUAAGCCUGGGAAACUGGGUCUAAUACCGGAUGUGACCUUCCAUGUAGUGUGGGGGGUGGAAAGAUUUAUCGGUGUGGGAUGAGCCCGCGGCCUAUCAGCUUGUUGGUGGGGUAAUGGCCUACCAAGGCGUCGACGGGUAGCCGGCCUGAGAGGGUGGACGGCCACAUUGGGACUGAGAUACGGCCCAGACUCCUACGGGAGGCAGCAGUGGGGAAUAUUGCACAAUGGGCGGAAGCCUUAUGCAGCGACGCCGCGUGGGGGAUGACGGCCUUCGGGUUGUAAACCUCUUUCGACAGGGACGAAGCUUCGGUGACGGUACCUGUAUAAGAAGCACCGGCUAACUACGUG
This 464-nucleotide ribosomal RNA is filed under the name uncultured bacterium. Its description in RNAcentral is "partial 16S ribosomal RNA". It matches the Rfam family "Bacterial small subunit ribosomal RNA", at positions 29 to 507 of the family's 1533-position model. The record is from RNAcentral.